Long non-coding RNA from Macadamia integrifolia, 1815 nucleotides. RefSeq lists it as uncharacterized. The transcript is spliced from 2 exons. The record is from RefSeq and is a predicted model, not a curated record. NCBI's taxonomy places the organism in Eukaryota, Viridiplantae, Streptophyta, Magnoliopsida, Proteales, Proteaceae.
AUUGCUAACCAUGAUUCAGACUAGUAGGUGGGGGCCCAGGGGUGUCUCAUUUGAUGUUUGCAGACGAUUGUAUGAUUUUUAGUAAAUCUUGCAUUUUAGAGGCUGAAUCCAUUUUGAACAUUCUUAGGCUUUAUAAGGAUGUUUCUGGACAAGAGGUCAAUCGGACCAAAUCUAGCAUUUUAUUUAGUCGCUCAAUGCCCUUGAGUGUUAGGGAUCAGAUUGCUGCUAUUUCUGGUUUCAAAGUGGUUACAAAUCAUGGGAAAUAUCUUGGUCUACCCACUGAGUUUGGUAGAACAAAAAAAGAAUCUGUUUUCCAAAAUUGUUGAGAGAGUUCAUUAGAACUGGUUGGAAGGAGAACAUUCUUUCAGAUGUUGGUAAGGAGAUCCUCCUUAAAACUGUGGCUACUUCUAUGCCUUAUUAUGCUAUUUCUAUGUUUCUUCUUCUUAAGUGUUUGUAAGGACUUAACCAAAUGUAUGCGACACUUAAGUGGAAGGACGACUCUAAUAAAGGAGUUUUUUGGGUGUCAUGGGACUACCAAUGUCGCAGUGAGAAUAGUGGUGGCUUGGGAUUCUGAGAUUUGGUUUGUUUCAAUGUAGCUAUGCUUGCUAGGCAUUGCUGCAGAAUUAUCCAUAACCUUGAGGCCCUUUGGGUUAAAGUGUUAAAAGGGAAAAUAUUUUCAUAAUUCUUCUUUUUUGGAUCUCAUUCAUAAACCUUCGGGUUCUUGGGCUUGGAAAAGUCUGUUAAAAGUAGGGAAUUAUUACUUUGGGCUUGGGAGAGGUAUUGGUGAUGAUGGCCUUGAGAUAUAUGUUUAUGUUGAUCCUUGGAUUCUUCUCUUCCGGGAGGGAAGGUUUUUAGUGUCUCAAAUGUUAAUCCCUCUUGGAAAGUGGCUGACCUUAUUUUGCAUUCUUUUCAUAAGUGGAAUGUGCCUCUCGUCAAGUCAUUAUUUUCAUAUUCGGAGGUAUCUACGAUUACCCAAAUCCCGCUGUCUAUCUUUGUGAGAAAGGACAGUUGGCUUUGGUCGGGGACCAAAUCUGGUAAGUUUUCUGUAAAAUCUACAUACUAUACUGCCCUUGAAUUUGAGUGCAAUUUUUCUAUUUCCUAUGAUCCCCUUUGGACUAAGUCGUCGAGCUAAAAAAUCAUUCCUAAAAUAAAGCUCUUCAUUUGGCAUUGUAGUGCUAACUGUUUUUUUUUUUUUUUUGGUGCAGUAGUGCUAACUAUUUAGCAGUAAAACAAUUGUUAUAUCAUAGAACACUUGCCUUGAAUGCUACAUGUUCUUUAUGUAAAGCUAAUGAGGACUCUAUUGUUCUCGCCUUGUUUCAAUGCCCAUUUGGGCAACGUGCUGAUUUGGAAACCUAGAAACAAAGCUUUAUUGAACUUCAUUGAUCGUAACCUCAUGGCUACUAUGGCUGCUUUUUAUGUCUCUGUGGAUGAAGGUCGCUUUUGGCCCUCUCAACAAGUAAUUUUGAGUGGUAUGUCUUCUCAUGGAAAUAACAAUUUGCUGGUCUCCUUGCCUACUGAUCAUGCUACUAUUUUUUCUAAUGGGGCAUGGAACAAUAUAAGGCUGGAAGUAGAGGUGUGGUGAUCCAAAGCAACAUGGGUGAUUUUAUUGGGGCUUCUCGCAAAGCAUGUUCUGGUUUUUCUGCUACAGUUUUAGAAGCAGAAGCAAUACGUGACGGGCUGCUGAUGUCUCGGUUCUUAGGUUUGAAGGCUAUUUUGUGUUUUUCUGAUUGUCUAGCUGUGGUAAAUGUCAUUUCUAGUGAAAGAAGUGGGAUAGACUGGGCAGCUAAAGUUGUAACUGAAGACAUUGUUCUUUUA